GACGAACGCUGGCGGCAUGCCUAACACAUGCAAGUCGAACGGAGAAUCGCUUCGGUGAUUCUUAGUGGCGAACGGGUGAGUAACGCGUAGGCAACCUGCCCUUUGGAUGGGGACAACAUUCCGAAAGGAGUGCAUUUAUCGCAUGGUAGAUGUACCAAAGAUUUAUCGCUUAAGGAUGGACUCGCGUCUGAUUAGAUAGUUGGUGAGGUAACGGCUCACCAAGUCGACGAUCAGUAGCCGAACUGAGAGGUUGAUCGGCCACAUUGGGACUGAGACACGGCCCAGACUCCUACGGGAGGCAGCAGUGGGGAAUAUUGCGCAAUGGGGGCAACCCUGACGCAGCAACGCCGCGUGAAGGAUGAAGGUCUUCGGAUCGUAAACUUUUGUCUUAUGGGAAGAACAAGGACGGUACCAUAGGAGGAAGCCACGGCUAACUACGUG
RNAcentral lists this ribosomal RNA (441 nucleotides) under uncultured bacterium. RNAcentral describes it as "bacterial SSU rRNA". It matches the Rfam family "Bacterial small subunit ribosomal RNA", at positions 28 to 507 of the family's 1533-position model. The record is from RNAcentral.